This 524-nucleotide ribosomal RNA is filed under the name uncultured bacterium. RNAcentral describes it as "partial 16S ribosomal RNA". It matches the Rfam family "Bacterial small subunit ribosomal RNA", at positions 28 to 523 of the family's 1533-position model. The record is from RNAcentral.
GACGAACGCUGGCGGCGUGCCUAAUACAUGCAAGUCGAGCGCAGGAAAUCGACGGAACCCUUCGGGGGGAAGUCGGCGGAAUGAGCGGCGGACGGGUGAGUAACACGUAAAGAACCUGCCCUCAGGUCUGGGAUAACCACGAGAAAUCGGGGCUAAUACCGGAUGGGUCAUCGGACCGCAUGGUCCGAGGAUGAAAGGCGCUUCGGCGUCGCCGGGGGAUGGCUUUGCGGUGCAUUAGCUAGUUGGUGGGGUAAUGGCCCACCAAGGCGACGAUGCAUAGCCGACCUGAGAGGGUGAUCGGCCACACUGGGACUGAGACACGGCCCAGACUCCUACGGGAGGCAGCAGUAGGGAAUCUUCCACAAUGGACGAAAGUCUGAUGGAGCAACGCCGCGUGAACGAUGAAGGCCUUCGGGUCGUAAAGUUCUGUUGUAAGGGAAGAACAAGUGCCGCAGGCAAUGGCGGCACCUUGACGGUACCUUGCGAGAAAGCCACGGCUAACUACGUGCCAGCCGCCGCCGUAA